UUGACGGGGGCCCGCACAAGCGGAGGAACAUGUGGUUUAAUUCGAUGAUACGCGAGGAACCUUACCCGGGCUUGAAAUGCAUCUGACCGGCCUUGAAAGAGGCACUCCCUUCGGGGCAGAUGUGUAGGUGCUGCAUGGUUGUCGUCAGCUCGUGCCGUGAGGUGUCGGCUUAAGUGCCAUAACGAGCGCAACCCUCAUCAUUAGUUACCAUCAGGUAAGGCUGGGGACUCUAAUGAGACUGCCAUCGUAAGAUGUGAGGAAGGUGGGGAUGACGUCAAAUCAGCACGGCCCUUACGUCCGGGGCGACACACGUGUUACAAUGGGUGGUACAAAGGGCAGCUACCUGGCGACAGGAUGCUAAUCUCGAAAACCGCUCUCAGUUCGGAUCGGAGUCUGCAACUCGACUCCGUGAAGCUGGAUUCGCUAGUAAUCGCGCAUCAGCCACGGCGCGGUGAAUACGUUCCGGGCCUU
Molecule: ribosomal RNA, 471 nt
Filed under: uncultured Proteiniphilum sp.
Lineage: Bacteria; Pseudomonadati; Bacteroidota; Bacteroidia; Bacteroidales; Dysgonomonadaceae
Description: bacterial SSU rRNA
Rfam family: Bacterial small subunit ribosomal RNA
Source: RNAcentral